CCUACGGGAGGCAGCAGUGGGGAAUAUUGGACAAUGGGCGCAAGCCUGAUCCAGCCAUGCCGCGUGAGUGAUGAAGGCCCUAGGCUUGUAAAGCUCUUUCACCGGUGAAGAUAAUGACGGUAACCGGAGAAGAAGCCCCGGCUAACUUCGUGCCAGCAGCCGCGGUAAU
This 169-nucleotide ribosomal RNA is filed under the name uncultured bacterium. RNAcentral's name for it is "partial 16S ribosomal RNA". It matches the Rfam family "Bacterial small subunit ribosomal RNA", at positions 338 to 524 of the family's 1533-position model. The record is from RNAcentral.